This 85-nucleotide transfer RNA is filed under the name Felis catus (domestic cat). It matches the Rfam family "tRNA". Rfam says of the family: Transfer RNA (tRNA) molecules are approximately 80 nucleotides in length. Their secondary structure includes four short double-helical elements and three loops (D, anti-codon, and T loops). The record is from Rfam by way of RNAcentral. Lineage: Eukaryota; Metazoa; Chordata; Mammalia; Carnivora; Felidae.
GCCUGGGUGGCUCAGUCGGUUAAGCGUCUGACUUUGGCUCAGGUCAGGAUCUCGCUGCUUGUGAGUUCGAGCCCCACGUCGGGCU